UACAGAGGUCCCAAGCGUUGUUCGGAUUCACUGGGCGUAAAGGGCGCGUAGGCUGUGCUGUAAGUCAGGCGUGAAAUCCCCGGGCUCAACCUGGGAAUUGCGUUUGAUACUGCGGCGCUGGAAUGCAGGAGAGGAUGGCGGAAUUCCCAGUGUAGAGGUGAAAUUCGUAGAUAUUGGGAAGAACACCGGUGGCGAAGGCGGCCAUCUGGCCUGUAAUUGACGCUGAGGCGCGAAAGCGUGGGGAGCAAACAGG
RNAcentral lists this ribosomal RNA (253 nucleotides) under uncultured bacterium. RNAcentral describes it as "partial 16S ribosomal RNA". It matches the Rfam family "Bacterial small subunit ribosomal RNA", at positions 524 to 776 of the family's 1533-position model. The record is from RNAcentral.